Molecule: long non-coding RNA, 2167 nt
Organism: Sebastes umbrosus (honeycomb rockfish)
Lineage: Eukaryota; Metazoa; Chordata; Actinopteri; Perciformes; Sebastidae
Exons: 3
Source: RefSeq, a predicted model, not a curated record
GCUCGCAUCAUUGAACAGAUAGAUUGACAAUAACUUGAUAGAUAGACAAUAAAUAACCUGAUAGAUUGACAAUAACCUGAUGUUUUCAGGUGGAAUUUCAUUCAUUCAUUCAUUUUCACUGUGCAAUAUAAUUUUCCACUUGUGCAAUUUUGUUAAUAGUCUGUUUCUUGUCAAUACUGUAUAUACUGCUCCUAUUUUUAUACUUCCUUCUAUUUAAAUGGUUCAUAUUUUGUUACACUUUGUUUAGCUCUUUUUUUUUACUGUUAGCUGAUGCAUCUUGUUUUUUGCACUAUCCCCUUUUCUGCUGUACACUGAAAAUGUACCCACGCGGGACUGCGGCAUUUAAAAAGGCAAAUUAUUUUCCCGUUUGCAUUAGCAUUCAAGCCCCCAGGAAGAGCCCCGAAGGUUGAUCCCAAUUUUCGUAGUGACCAAACCUACAUCCAUGGGCCAAACGACGGUUCUACAACUUCUGUGUCCGUCACGUGAGGCCACUGGGCCCAAAAAGGUAUUUCCAUACGUUGACUGACUGACUGUGAUGCUGAACUUCAUCGAACAGAAAGAGCUCUUCGUCCUCCCACUAGUCUGAACUCAAGACCCUGUUGGACUUCACAGACGUACCAUUCCAGAUCUACCAGGAGCUUACAUGAGGACAAUUCUCUCUACAAGAGAUGUGAAGGAUGCAGGGACGCUCCACCUGAGACUUUAGAGCCUUACAUUUCCAACUAUACCCUCCCUAAAAAUGACGGCCAGUUUGCUCGCUUUAUUACUGUGUACGAGCCUUUGCACUGUUGCUCAAUAAAGUCCAUCAUUCUCUGCAGUCAUUAGAUCAGUCAUUUGUGUCCACAAGAAUUAGCACAAGUACAUACAUACACAUACAAGUAAAUACAUUCAUAUUUGAGAGCCUAGUGAAUUUUGUCAUUUUGAAUGCUAUAUUCUCUUCACACUUUUCUAAUUUUUUAUUUCAGUGUGACAGCAGAUACUUUUACAAACUUGUUACGUUUUGAUAAGUCACCCUUUAUAAAGGGUUUACAGGAAAUAUUUGAUGCCUUAAAAAAUGCUCAUGUAUCUCUCACAGAAAUGUUAGUAAGUUAUUAAUAAGGGGUCUUGACUUUCUCAAUUUCUAAUAAGCCAUCAGCAAAAGUUUGUCAGUCAACUGCAAAUUAUAAAUGUUAAUACAUCAUCAAUAAAUAAUUCUUAUAGUAAUCAGUCAAUCUUGAAGUUGUAUAUGUUUUAUGUAAUUUGAUUUUGUUCCUGACGCCCUGCAACCCUUUUUCAGAAAGCAAGUGUUCAAACAGUCAUCUUCCUGUCAGCUAAAAUAUAAAGUGCUAUAUAAAUGUCCACAUGGUGGUGCUAUCUCAUCAAAAUUAAUUUGUCCCCUUGUUCAUGACCUAACAUUCCACCAAAUGUCAUUGAGUUCUGUUCUGUUGGUUUUGAGAUGUCCUGGGAACAAACAAACCAGACCAAAUAGCCUACAUGUACUUUAUUUGGCUGUGUGUGAGAAAAUCAUUACUGAGUGUGUUGUUUAUUUUUGUCUUAAUACAAUCUGUACAGUUUACGGGGAGCAACUCUGUGUGUCUCUUUGAUUGUAUUUGCAUCUGACUGUGUGACUUAAUGACAGCUGCUAUCAGGCCUAACACAGGGGGCAGACGGAUGGCUUUGGAUGGAAAAUAUAUCAUUUUGUUACACCGAUAAUAUUUCAGAGAAAAGAAAAUCAAAAACAGGUGUAAGGUGACCCACAGGUACGCGGCGUCCUUUUUCAUGUCCCCUUGCAGCUGGAAAAUAAUGUCUAAGUAUUGACAAACAACCUUCCGUUACUCACAGACUACUUGAACAGUAACGAAAAUAAUUUGAUCCCUGAUCCCACUGAAUUUUGCUUCAUUUUAGAACUAUAUUACCUAGUUUGACAGCUUGGUUCAAGUUUCGCGAGCCUAAAGUCAUCAAAUUUGUGACUUGUGUCUGACUCGAGUCAAAGUCACGUGAUUCGAGUUCAGACGUCUGGAAGAAGGUAAACAGAGCAGAUCACCCUCACUCGAACCCUGAUCUCUCAUCUAGGCCUGUCUGCCUGAGGCAAGGCAAUAAAAGUAGUUAUCUGUGGUACAAUUAAAAAGUCCUGUUCGUAUUCAGUGAUGCAAACAUCUUCUCUCAUCCUUUUACUCUCUUCCCGUGA